CCGAAUUGUCAACACGAGUUGUUGCUGGUCCUCAAAUGGGGACAUGUGCACGCUCUGUUCACACAUCCACUCACACCUGUGCACCCUCUGUAGUUCUAUGGCCUGGGGGACCGUUGUCCCCCUUGCCGUGGUUCUAUGUCUUUACACACACACUGUAAUAAAGUUUCAUGGAAUGUAGUCGCGUUUAACGCAAUACAAUA
This 200-nucleotide unclassified non-coding RNA is filed under the name uncultured Thelephoraceae. Its description in RNAcentral is "sequence contains ITS1". Lineage: Eukaryota; Fungi; Basidiomycota; Agaricomycetes; Thelephorales; Thelephoraceae. The record is from RNAcentral.